RNAcentral lists this ribosomal RNA (478 nucleotides) under uncultured bacterium. RNAcentral's name for it is "partial 16S ribosomal RNA". It matches the Rfam family "Bacterial small subunit ribosomal RNA", at positions 28 to 523 of the family's 1533-position model. The record is from RNAcentral.
GACGAACGCUGGCGGCGUGCUUAACACAUGCAAGUCGAACGGUAAGGCCCUUCGGGGUACACGAGUGGCGAACGGGUGAGUAACACGUGGGUGAUCUGCCCUGCACUUCGGGAUAAGCCUGGGAAACUGGGUCUAAUACCGGAUAGGACUCCGGACUGCAUGGUCUGGGGUGGAAAGCUUUUGCGGUGUGGGAUGGGCCCGCGGCCUAUCAGCUUGUUGGGGGGGUGAUGGCCUACCAAGGCGACGACGGGUAGCCGGCCUGAGAGGGUGACCGGCCACACUGGGACUGAGAUACGGCCCAGACGCCUACGGGAGGCAGCAGUGGGGAAUAUUGCACAAUGGGCGCAAGCCUGAUGCAGCGACGCCGCGUGAGGGAUGACGGCCUUCGGGUUGUAAACCUCUUUCAGCAUCGACGAAGCGAAAGUGACGGUAGGUGCAGAAGAAGGACCGGCCAACUACGUGCCAGCCGCCGCAGUAA